This 424-nucleotide ribosomal RNA is filed under the name Verrucomicrobiota bacterium. Its description in RNAcentral is "Verrucomicrobia bacterium partial 16S ribosomal RNA". It matches the Rfam family "Bacterial small subunit ribosomal RNA", at positions 355 to 776 of the family's 1533-position model. Lineage: Bacteria; Pseudomonadati; Verrucomicrobiota. The record is from RNAcentral.
UGAGGAAUAUUGGUCAAUGGACGGAAGUCUGAACCAGCCAAGGAGCGUGCAGGAUGACGGCCCUAUGGGUUGUAAACUGCUUUUGUAUGGGGAUAAAGUUAGGGACGUGUCCCUAUUUGCAGGUACCAUACGAAUAAGGACCGGCUAAUUCCGUGCCAGCAGCCGCGGUAAUACGGAAGGUCCAGGCGUUAUCCGGAUUUAUUGGGUUUAAAGGGAGCGUAGGCUGGAGAUUAAGUGUGUUGUGAAAUGUAGACGCUCAACGUCUGAAUUGCAGCGCAUACUGGUUUCCUUGAGUACGCACAACGUUGGCGGAAUUCGUCGUGUAGCGGUGAAAUGCUUAGAUAUGACGAAGAACUCCGAUUGCGAAGGCAGCUGACGGGAGCGCAACUGACGCUUAAGCUCGAAGGUGCGGGUAUCAAACAGG